RNAcentral lists this ribosomal RNA (403 nucleotides) under bacterium. RNAcentral describes it as "partial 16S ribosomal RNA". It matches the Rfam family "Bacterial small subunit ribosomal RNA", at positions 355 to 776 of the family's 1533-position model. The record is from RNAcentral.
UGGGGAAUAUUGCACAAUGGAGGGAACUCUGAUGCAGCGACGCCGCGUGAACGAAGAAGGCUUUCGAGUCGUAAAGUUCUUUUAUAUGGGAAGAUAAUGACGGUACCAUAAGAAAAAGCCCCGGCUAACUACGUGCCAGCAGCCGCGGUAAUACGUAGGGGGCUAGCGUUGUCCGGAACCACUGGGCGUAAAGGGUUCGCAGGCGGAAAUGCAAGUCAGGUGUAAAAGGCAGUAGCUUAACUACUGUAAGCAUUUGAAACUGCAUAUCUUGAGAAGAGUAGAGGUAAGUGGAAUUUUUAGUGUAGCGGUGAAAUGCGUAGAUAUUAAAAAGAAUACCGGUGGCGAAGGCGACUUACUGGGCUCAUUCUGACGCUGAGGAACGAAAGCGUGGGUAGCAAACAGG